RNAcentral lists this ribosomal RNA (256 nucleotides) under uncultured Actinomycetes bacterium. RNAcentral describes it as "uncultured actinobacterium partial 16S rRNA". It matches the Rfam family "Bacterial small subunit ribosomal RNA", at positions 186 to 442 of the family's 1533-position model. The record is from RNAcentral. Lineage: Bacteria; Bacillati; Actinomycetota; Actinomycetes.
AGGCAUCUCUACCGUCUGGAAAGAUUUAUCGGUCUGGGAUGGACUCGCGGCCUAUCAGCUUGUUGGUGAGGUAAAGGCUCACCAAGGCGACGACGGGUAGCCGGCCUGAGAGGGCGACCGGCCACACUGGGACUGAGACACGGCCCAGACUCCUACGGGAGGCAGCAGUGGGGAAUAUUGCACAAUGGGCGAAAGCCUGAUGCAGCGACGCCGCGUGAGGGAUGACGGCCUUCGGGUUGUAAACCUCUUUCAGCGA